CCCUAAAAAGUCCUUUAAACACAAAGG
RNAcentral lists this transfer RNA (27 nucleotides) under Rhinella marina (marine toad). Its description in RNAcentral is "partial tRNA-Phe". RNAcentral also lists the same sequence under 22 other names. Lineage: Eukaryota; Metazoa; Chordata; Amphibia; Anura; Bufonidae. The record is from RNAcentral.